AACGAACGCUGGCGGCAUGCCUAACACAUGCAAGUCGAACGAAGCCUUCGGGCUUAGUGGCGCACGGGUGCGUAACACGUGGGAAUCUGCCUCUAGGUAGGGAAUAACUCAGGGAAACUUGUGCUAAUACCCUAUGAUGUCUUCGGACCAAAGAUUUAUCGCCUAGAGAUGAGCCCGCGUCGGAUUAGCUAGUUGGUGAGGUAAAGGCUCACCAAGGCUACGAUCCGUAGCUGGUCUGAGAGGAUGAUCAGCCACACUGGGACUGAGACACGGCCCAGACUCCUACGGGAGGCAGCAGUGGGGAAUAUUGGACAAUGGGCGAAAGCCUGAUCCAGCAAUGCCGCGUGAGUGAAGAAGGCCUUCGGGUUGUAAAGCUCUUUUACCCGGGAAGAUAAUGACUGUACCGGGAGAAUAAGCCCCGGCUAACUCCGUG
Molecule: ribosomal RNA, 433 nt
Filed under: uncultured bacterium
Lineage: Bacteria
Description: bacterial SSU rRNA
Rfam family: Bacterial small subunit ribosomal RNA
Source: RNAcentral